GCGCGUUGAUAAGUAGUAAUGAUAAGUAGUCAAUAUUAAAAAAAAAUUAAUUUACUACGAAUAUUUAUGUACUAUUAUAGAGCUCCAGACUUACCUUAUCAUCAGAGCCCCAAGAUCUUAGUUGUGCCACUGGAAGUAUGUCCGGCUUUUUUGCAAUUCAUACAAAUUAUUUAAUACAAAUAUUUGUCCUUUAACAAUUUGUUGACUGCGCCUGCUCGUUCUCCAGGAGAUAUCACUUACUU
This is a non-coding RNA of Cinara cedri, 242 nucleotides long. Lineage: Eukaryota; Metazoa; Arthropoda; Insecta; Hemiptera; Aphididae. The record is from the annotation of a GenBank genome assembly.